RNAcentral lists this ribosomal RNA (625 nucleotides) under uncultured bacterium. RNAcentral describes it as "bacterial SSU rRNA". It matches the Rfam family "Bacterial small subunit ribosomal RNA", at positions 56 to 728 of the family's 1533-position model. The record is from RNAcentral.
UGCAGUCGAUCGCUCUUUUCGGAGAGAGAGGCGCACGGGUGAGUAACACGUGGGAAUAUACCCUUGAGUACGGAAUAACUAUUGGAAACGAUAGCUAAUACCGUAUACGCCCUACGGGGGAAAGAUUUAUCGCUCAAGGAUUAGCCCGCGUCUGAUUAGCUAGUUGGUGAGGUAAUGGCUCACCAAGGCGACGAUCAGUAGCUGGUUUGAGAGAAUGAUCAGCCACACUGGGACUGAGACACGGCCCAGACUCCUACGGGAGGCAGCAGUGGGGAAUAUUGGACAAUGGGCGCAAGCCUGAUCCAGCCAUGCCGCGUGAGUGAAGAAGGCCUUCGGGUUGUAAAGCUCUUUCAGACGUGAAGAUGAUGACGGUAACGUCAGAAGAAGCCCCGGCUAACUUCGUGCCAGCAGCCGCGGUAAUACGAAGGGGGCAAGCGUUGUUCGGAAUUACUGGGCGUAAAGCGCGCGUAGGCGGCGUCGUCAGUCAGAGGUGAAAUCCCAGGGCUCAACCUUGGAAUUGCCUUUGAUACUGCGAUGCUUGAGUUCGAGAGAGGGUGGCGGAAUACCCAGUGUAGAGGUGAAAUUCGUAGAUAUUGGGUAGAACACCAGUGGCGAAGGCGGCCAC